GCCGGGCGUGGUGGCGCACACCUGUAAUCCCAGCUACUCAGGAGGCUGAGGCAGGAGAAUCGCUUGAACCCAGGAAAUGGAGGUUGCAGUGAGCCAAGAUCAUGCCACUGUACUUCAGUCUGGGCAACAGAGCAAGACUCUGUCUCAA
RNAcentral lists this non-coding RNA (148 nucleotides) under Homo sapiens (human). The record is from Rfam by way of RNAcentral. Lineage: Eukaryota; Metazoa; Chordata; Mammalia; Primates; Hominidae.